AUUGAACGCUGGCGGCAGGCCUAACACAUGCAAGUCGAACGCGUGGCGGACGGGUGAGUAAUGUCUGGGAAACUGACUGAUGGAGGGGGAUAAAUAGUGGAAACGGUAGCUAAUACCGCAUACCAUCGGAUGUGCCCAGAUGGGAUUAGCUAGUAGGGGGGGUAACGGCUCACCUAGGCGACGAUCCCUAGCUGGUGUGAGAGGAUGACCAGCCACACUGGAACUGAGACACGGUCCAGACUCCUACGGGAGGCAGCAGUGGGGAAUAUUGCACAAUGGGCGCAAGCCUGAUGCAGCCAUGCCGCGUGUAUGAAGAAGGCCUUCGGGUUGUAAAGCACUUUCAGCGGUGAGGCGUUACCCGCAGAAGAAGCACCGGCUAACUCCGUGCCAGCAGCCGCGGUAAUUC
Molecule: ribosomal RNA, 406 nt
Filed under: uncultured bacterium
Lineage: Bacteria
Description: partial 16S ribosomal RNA
Rfam family: Bacterial small subunit ribosomal RNA
Source: RNAcentral